Long non-coding RNA from Nicotiana tabacum (common tobacco), 787 nucleotides. RefSeq lists it as uncharacterized. The record is from RefSeq and is a predicted model, not a curated record. Lineage: Eukaryota; Viridiplantae; Streptophyta; Magnoliopsida; Solanales; Solanaceae.
AGUUUAUCUUGUUUCAUGACCAUCGGAAUCUAGUCAAACUCCGGUUGACCGUCCAGUUCCCACCCAUAUCACCAUGGUGUCAUUUUCUCCGGCUUAGCAAGGGAUAUUGUUGCAUGCAACACUGGCCGGUGUGAAGCAACUCUGAUUAUGUAGGAGCAAUAGAUGGCACACAUGUGCUUGCAUCUGUUCCUAUCGAACUCCAAAAUAGGUGUCAUGGCCGCAAAGGCACAACACAAAAUGUCAUGGCUGCUGUCAGCUUUAAUUUGAAGUUCACAUAUGUGGUUGCUGGCUGGGAAGGAUCUGCUCAUGACUCACGCAUAUUAAAUGAUGCAUUGGAGAGCAUUUUCGUGUGAUUGAUAAUGAACCCUUUUGGGACUUUAAAACACAAGUGGAUGUGGUGUUAGCAUCGUGCAUUUUACAUAAUCACAUAACAGAUUUGGAGCCAAAUGACCCAAUAAUACAAGAAGUAGAGGGGCAACCACUAGUUCAAACACAAAAUGCUCAAAGUACUCAAAGUUCUCUAGGGAAUCAAACCUAUCAGACACCUAGAGAAAGACGUGAAGAAGCUAGGGAAUGGUCGUUGAAAAGAGAUGCCAUUGCUCAUGCCAUGUUUACAAAUUAUGAUCGGAGGAGGAAUAGAUGAAUAUAAUCUAUCAAGAAACAGUUUUUUAUUUAGUCAUCUUGGUUUUAGUUGUUUGUGUUUAAUUGUUUAUGUUUUCAUAUACUCUUAUGUACAUUGACUUUAUAUUUUAUAUGAUUUUGUUGUCCUGUCUCUAUUUAUCUUAAA